RNAcentral lists this ribosomal RNA (890 nucleotides) under uncultured bacterium. RNAcentral's name for it is "bacterial SSU rRNA". It matches the Rfam family "Bacterial small subunit ribosomal RNA", at positions 8 to 853 of the family's 1533-position model. The record is from RNAcentral.
AGAGUUUGAUCAUGGCUCAGGAUGAACGCCGGCGGUGUGCCUAAUACAUGCAAGUCGAACGCGUUGGCCCAACUGACUGAACGUGCUUGCACGGACUUGACGUUGGUUUACCAGCGAGUGGCGGACGGGUGAGUAACACGUAGGUAACCUGCCCCAAAGCGGGGGAUAACAUUUGGAAACAGAUGCUAAUACCGCAUAACAAUUUGAAUCGCAUGAUUCAAAUUUAAAAGAUGGCUUCGGCUAUCACUUUGGGAUGGACCUGCGGCGCAUUAGCUUGUUGGUAGGGUAACGGCCUACCAAGGCUGUGAUGCGUAGCCGAGUUGAGAGACUGAUCGGCCACAAUGGAACUGAGACACGGUCCAUACUCCCACGGGAGGCAGCAGUAGGGAAUCUUCCACAAUGGGCGCAAGCCUGAUGGAGCAACACCGCGUGAGUGAAGAAGGGUUUCGGCUCGUAAAGCUCUGUUGUUAGAGAAGAACGUGCGUGAGAGCAACUGUUCACGCAGUGACGGUAUCUAACCAGAAAGUCACGGCUAACUACGUGCCAGCAGCCGCGGUAAUACGUAGGUGGCAAGCGUUAUCCGGAUUUAUUGGGCGUAAAGCGAGCGCAGGCGGUUUGAUAAGUCUGAUGUGAAAGCCUUUGGCUUAACCAAAGAAGUGCGUCGGAAACUGUCAGACUUGAGUGCAGAAGAGGACAGUGGAACUCCAUGUGUAGCGGUGGAAUGCGUAGAUAUAUGGAAGAACACCAGUGGCGAAGGCGGCUGCCUGGUCUGCAACUGACGCUGAGGCUCGAAAGCAUGGGUAGCGAACAGGAUUAGAUACCCUGGUAGUCCAUGCCGUAAACGAUGAGUGCUAGGUGUUGGAGGGUUUCCGCCCUUCAGUGCCGCAGCU